GCUGGUGGUCUGGUUGAAGUGCUCAGAUAAUUUGGGGAGACCCAUGGCAUGCUCUCUCAACAGUGAAGGUUCAAAAACACACAUGCCGGAAUGCUUAUAGAAUUCCUCGCCAUUUUUCCGCAUUCAUUGACACAUAAAUAAGUACAAGAAUCACUUCAAAAUAGUUUAAGGGUAAAGUUUAGAGAUUAAAUCAUUUGAGUAUGUUAGUUUGGUUCAAAUUUGACUGGGGGGGGGGUGAAGAAUGAGGCAAUCAUAUUAGGUCAAUUUUGAGUAAAUUGACAAUGUUUACAAGGAAUUAAUAGCGGUUAAGGUGUGAAAGUGUGAAAAACCAAGCUAAAAGCCCCAAGAAUACCUGAUUGCCACAAUGUCAAAGAGCAUAGUUGCAGACUAAGAAACAUCUAUUAGACCAUGUACAGUACUUGAGUCUUGUGAUAUUGCUUUUGUAUUAUACAAUAUACUGUAAACUUGCUGUUAACAUAUUAUAUUAUUAAUAUUCAUGGUUGUCAAAUAUCAUAAAAUCAACACACAAAAUUCACACACAAAGGUUUAAAAUAAUGUAUAUUGGUAUAAACGUUUAAUAAAAAUGCAUACAUACGUAACCCAUGGUCGGCAUGGAAUUUUGUCACUUGGCACAGUACUUUAAUGUUUUUUAAUGUUUGUCCCACAUUAAAAUAUAUUGAGUGACUUGAGUCAAUGACAGUGCAACUGUUCAUAUUAAAACGUUCUAAUCACAUUUACAUGCACAUUUGUAUUCAGUAGUAAUCUUUUCAGAAAGGUAUAUCAAAGUCCCAAAUCAAAUUCUUCACUGACAGUAUGUUAUUGACUCCCAAACGACAAAUAUUAUAAAACACGCUUCCAAGCUGAAAAGAAAUAUUUACUGUUGUCAGUCAGUGUUUAGACUCUUCUCUUUGAAUCUUGAUCUUCGACAAGUAUUGCUGUUGAUUAUAUUCCAUAUUUUUUUAAAGAAUAUCGCAGACUAUAUAUUUAUUUCCACUGUCAGUUGAAAUUAAGUUUAUCAUCAUAGUUUCAGUCGCAAAAGCUUCUAUCGCCCCUUUGCACGGCCAUGUUUGAUAAAAUCAAAGCGGCCUGCACCCCCGGUUUGAAAAGUUAAAUAUUCUGAAAUAUUCAAAAUUUGAAGCAUCACGUGACCAGCCUUUACCAGGGCCUUUGCUGCUUCGCCUCCUUCCUCAAUAGGCCCUGGGGACGAGGUUG
Paramuricea clavata is the source of this 1212-nucleotide non-coding RNA. NCBI's taxonomy places the organism in Eukaryota, Metazoa, Cnidaria, Anthozoa, Malacalcyonacea, Plexauridae. The record is from the annotation of a GenBank genome assembly.